Molecule: unclassified non-coding RNA, 203 nt
Filed under: Hevea brasiliensis (rubber tree)
Lineage: Eukaryota; Viridiplantae; Streptophyta; Magnoliopsida; Malpighiales; Euphorbiaceae
Source: RNAcentral
UGGCUGUCAGUUAUUCCCAUCAUCAGCAGAUGAGUUGAUGUUUGCAUCCAAGGCUGGAUGAUCAUUUCAUGGGCAGAUUCGGGCGGGGCAGGAUGGUGCGACCCAACUCUUCAUUUAACUUGACUGGAAGAGGUGGCAUCUGCUUCAUUACAUCAGGCAUAUCAUUCAACUCGCUCAUAAUCUUGAGAAUGUUGUCACGAGUU